GCCCCCGUGGCGGAAUGGCAGACGCAGUGGACUUAAAAUCCAUCGCCUUUUGGCGUGCGGGUUCGAUCCCCGCCGGGGGCA
This 81-nucleotide transfer RNA is filed under the name Aeriscardovia sp. Its description in RNAcentral is "tRNA-Leu". It matches the Rfam family "tRNA". Rfam says of the family: Transfer RNA (tRNA) molecules are approximately 80 nucleotides in length. Their secondary structure includes four short double-helical elements and three loops (D, anti-codon, and T loops). Further hydrogen bonds mediate the characteristic L-shaped molecular structure. tRNAs have two regions of fundamental functional importance: the anti-codon, which is responsible for specific mRNA codon recognition, and the 3' end, to which the tRNAs corresponding amino acid is attached (by aminoacyl-tRNA synthetases). tRNAs cope with the degeneracy of the genetic code in two manners: having more than one tRNA (with a specific anti-codon) for a particular amino acid; and 'wobble' base-pairing, i.e. permitting non-standard base-pairing at the 3rd anti-codon position. Lineage: Bacteria; Bacillati; Actinomycetota; Actinomycetes; Bifidobacteriales; Bifidobacteriaceae. The record is from RNAcentral.